GAAAUGCGAUAAGUAGUGUGAAUUGCAGAAUUCAGUGAAUCAUCGAAUCUUUGAACGCACAUUGCGCCCCUUGGUAUUCCAUGGGGCAUGCCUGUUCGAGCGUCAUUUGUACCCUCAAGCUUUGCUUGGUGUUGGGUGUUUGUCCUGUAUUGGACUCGCCUUAAAGUAAUUGGCCGCCGGCGUAUUGGCCUUGGAGCGCAGCACAAUUUGCGCUUUCAGUCAGUAUAUGUUGGCGUCCAUAAGCCUUUCUCACUUUUGACCUCGGAUCAGGUAGGGAUACCCGAUGAACUUAAGC
This 295-nucleotide unclassified non-coding RNA is filed under the name plant metagenome. Its description in RNAcentral is "partial contains 5.8S ribosomal RNA, internal transcribed spacer 2, and large subunit ribosomal RNA". The stretch from base 1 to 105 matches the Rfam family "5.8S ribosomal RNA", at positions 50 to 154 of the family's 154-position model. The record is from RNAcentral.